CCCUGCACUAUCCUUGUAAUUUUGGUACAGCUGACAAAUAUAACUGAACAAUGAAGGCUGAUGCUAGUCAGAUGAAAGCACUGUAUGAAGCCAAUGGCUAUCUGACUGCGAUCCAUGUACUGGGUGAGAAGGAAAUGGAACAGGCCAGCAAAGAGUAUGGAAAACUGGAACAAACGUUUGGUAAGUUCUCAUUGAUUUUUUUUGUUGUGCAUGAUGGGAGUUGUAGCUCCUAUUGCACCUGAAAUGCUGUUUAAUGCAUUCUCAUCACCCUUACAUUACUUGUGUUAUAGUAAAUAAUAUAUCAUUCGUCAAACAGAGAGAAUGAAUGUAAAUGUAGAGUCCAAUAUCAUCAAAUAUCUUGAAAUACAAAAUAUAAAGGACUUACAGGAAAAAAAAAAAAAAAAAAAAAAAUUACAUGUUUGGUAUAAAAAUGUGACAUGCUUAUGACUUUAAUAACUGAUGUACAAGUAAUGUUCUAAUAAUACUGGGCCGCUAUACAUGUAAAGAUACACAACAUGACCCUGGAAGUUACAAAUCUAGUGGAUUUUAAUAUAAAGAAUUCACAAUGUGUAUUAAAAGGUGCUUAAUUUCGAACAACUAAUUGUGAAAUAUAUUUUUGUUGUUGAUAAUCCAUGUAUAGACAUAUAAUAAGCUGCCAUGUCUUUUCCAGGCAAGGAGUACACUCAGUAUAACCUGCACAACAUCCACAUGGAGCAUGAGUGGGUGAUGAAUUUGGCUUCCCAUCCCAACCUGCUGCAAGCGAUCACUGCUGUCCUGGGUCCUAAUGUCAUUCUGCUGGACUCCAGGUUUAUCUGUAAAUAUCCUUCCUCUGACGUUCCCCAUAAAGAAAACAUAGCGCCCUACGUGGCCUGGCACCAGGACAUCAAGUAAGUAAAAGACAGAUAAUAUUCAUAUGAAUUUACUAAAAUUAGGAAGCCAUUUAUAGCAUGGUUUACAGCAUGGCACACCUUGAUUUGUGAUCUGUCUACAGAUACUGGGGGUUUGAAGGAGGUCCAGUGGCUUCAGUGUGGCUGGCAUUUGAUGACGUGGAUGCAGAAAAUGGAGUCCUUCAAAUUAUCCCAGGUACAGUGUUUACUUAUUCUAUCAAACAUGAUACAUGUAUUAUUCUGUAUUUCUAUAUUUCUGUAUUCUGUCUGUCUAUAUAUCCAUCUAUUUAAUAGUUGUAUUAGACAAUACAGUAAAAAUAAAAAAAACAAAAGCAGAUUUUGAAAGUCAUGGUAUUAAAUAAAAUUAGAAUACACAAUAAAAUGCCUUAACAGAGUUAUGGAUAAGGAAUAAAAUAUUUGAAUAGUAUGCAAGCAUUUAAAGAAAAGAACUCAAAAUUGCUAUUAUUUUGUAUUUGAUGAUACAUUGUAUCUUUCCAUAGGGAGCCAUAAACAAGGUGUUCUAGAGCACAGAAUUGCGG
Non-coding RNA from Pelobates cultripes (western spadefoot toad), 1426 nucleotides. Lineage: Eukaryota; Metazoa; Chordata; Amphibia; Anura; Pelobatidae. The record is from the annotation of a GenBank genome assembly.